Molecule: long non-coding RNA, 3674 nt
Organism: Felis catus (domestic cat)
Lineage: Eukaryota; Metazoa; Chordata; Mammalia; Carnivora; Felidae
Exons: 3
Source: RefSeq, a predicted model, not a curated record
UCCCAAGCAGGCUCCCUGCCAUCAGCACAGAGCUCUACGUGGGGCUCAAUCUCACAAACCGUGGGAUCACGACCUGAGCCGAAACCAAGAGUCAGAUGCCCAACCGACUGAGCCACCCGGCGUCCCUAUCUGCCCUCUUUUAUGUGUGUUGAGUGGGGAGGCAGAAUGUAAACCAUACAUUGAAAAGUUUCAGGCAAGUAAUUUACUCAGUUUCCUUAUCUGUAAGAUGCGGACACCAACCCUGCCCUCCACACCCCACAGGGUUGGGAAAUGGGGCACGUACUCUUGGAGAUGGAGUUAGAAACAACAUAUACGAAUGCCUGCAUCUGCCACAACCUGCUGGGCCCUGAUCUUCGCUGGCAAAUAAGUGUGGGGCAGCCUUCAGCCAGAACAUCCUUAGGAGGCGGCGGGGAGGGCUGACCUGGGAGUGGGUGCUGGCUGGUGCCCACAGGGGUUGGGCUUGCCUCGCUGUAGCCCCUUCUACGAAGCUGUGUGAACCAGGGUCAGAGGGAGGCAACUAAGGAGGAGUGAGGCUGGCCAAUUCUCCCCAAGCUCAAAACCACGUGGCUGCAUUUGGGACAUCAGACAGGGCUCUGGCUCCUCUGCUAAUAUGUACUGAGAUGAAAGAAGCUAAUGGUAUCUUCAGAAGGUGUCCCCCCACCCCCCGCCAAAAAAAGAAUAAAGGGCAGGGGGAAGGGGUUUCUGGCAUUAUUCCAAGCUUCCCAUGAGACACAACAGCCUAGGAGAGAGUCCCUGUGAUGGGGGUCCUAUGGAGAAGUCUCUUCCCCACAGCCACCACUGGAGUGGGAAAGGACACAAUGACCUGACCAGGGGGCAGCCUGGCAAGCGCUUUGGAGCUCUCAAGGGAACGUGUCCAUGGCCGAGUACUCACCCCAGGUGCCAGUAGUCUGUCAACUGCCUGUCAUUUCUGCCUCCAGGCCUUAGAGGAAGGGGGGGGGGUCAUUUUAAGAGGGAAGGGGAUCCUGACUUUCCCCACCCUGGGAGAGACAGAGACCCUGAGCCCAGGCAUGCUCCUCCCCUUUCUUCCCCUGCCCAGGCGCCUGGCGCCAAGGAUGGGGCCUGGGUGUUGUGCGUGCUCACGGCCACCAGGGGGAGCAUCAGAGGCGGGCUCCCUGAGGGGGCCACACGCCCCUGCACGACAUAAGGGCACUGCUUUUCAUCACAGUGAUAUAUUUACCCACUGGUAUUUCCAGGUGGUCCAUUUUUCUCUCAAGAAGCCACCCAGCCUGGUUAAAAUGCUUUGCUAUCUUUCAAAAGGCACAGAUGGCUCCAGGUUGCUCAAGCUCUUCAUUGUAAUUCAAGCAAAAGUAUCCAAAAGCAAAGUUUAUAAUACAAUAGAGGAAGCGGGUGCCUGGGCCUCCUGAGUGGGGAUUCCUUUGCCCUUUGGAAGCUGGGGAAGAGUUCACAGGGAAACACUUGCCCUAGGGCGUGGCCCCUGCUCCCUGACACACUUCAUCUCUCCAAGGGCUCUGGACCCCCGAGGAGACGGUGGCGGAGGGGGUGUCCCCAAACUGUGGCAGUCAGGCCACAGUUGCACUGGGGGAAACCUAGUGACAAUGGGUGGCGGGGGGGGGGGGGAGGUCUCUUCUGGGCCCCACAUGGCUCUGUGAGGGCGCAGCCUGUGCUGAGCCCCUUGGUAGCUGGAAGGCCCCUUAGCUUGCUGAUUGAAGGUGACAAGCAGCUGCCUGCAUCCCCGAGGCCCCUCAAAGCUUAAUGCUGGUAAUGCUGUUGCUGUGUUACAAAUUUGGCGCCCACGCCUUGCAGCCACGCUGGCACCUUCCACUUGCUGCAGUGUUUACCUUGCUGGAGACUUCAACUCUGAAGGCCUCAAUCUCUUUGUCUGGAAAAUGGCCAUUCUGAUGUCACAGAGCUCUUGUAUGGUGAGAAACGAGUCGGAGGCAAAGUGCCUGGUGCCUGUCCGCCCCACCCCUGAGGAGAAGCCGGCCUGGGGUGGCCCCACAGUCCAGUUCCCAGGUGACUUUGAGGCUGCUGAGCAGAAACCACCUGUUGAGAGCUGCUGGGUCUUACAUCAAUCACUGAAUGGCCCAGGGCUAAGAAGCAGGAUGCAGCCAGAAGACCCCCUCACAUGCCUCCAGCACAAGGACUGAAGUGGGUCCAACUCCUCGCUUAGCAUAGAUUAAACUGUCCGGCACACUGGAGCUUGGGACUCAUCUCAGCUUGCCCUGGGCCUGCACUUGCCGAUUAGUCACCCAGCAUCUGUGCGCAGGUGCUACACCGUGCCUGGCCGGGGGACACGAAGCCGGGCGGCAAGAAAAGAAACAGCAAAAGCAGGAGCAGGGCGGUGGCAUCAGAGCCCUUCCAGCAGCAGUACAGAGCAGGGUAAGUGGCCGAUAAGACGCGUAUCAGAGAGUCCGCUCUGCAGAAACAAGAGCGGGAGCGAAGGAACAGUGCAGAGGGGCUGGGAGACAAGCUGUCAGGGCUGGCCCCAGGCCCUGUGCAGGGCGGCGGGUCCAGGGGAGGUGGCGUGCGAGGUUGGCGCAAUUCCAGGUCACACUACUGGCAGGCCAGUGCUGCCUGGACCAGGAGCCAGCUGCUUCCCUCCCCUCCAGGCUCCGGAGCUGGGCGACAGUAGCCUGGCCUGGGCUGCGUUUCACCUACAGACGUGUUUUGUUUAGCCCGCUUGGUGUUUCGAGGUUUGGGAAAUUGCACAUGAAAUUCCAGAUGUCUAACUUCUCUGGCUCCCUGGAGCCCAUCUUCCUGCACAGCAGCAACAGGUUCGGUCCGCAGGGCGACAGCGUCUGCAGACAGCACGUGCUCUCUCGAGUCCUCCACUCCCCACGCCUGCCCUGUCUCUCCCGUUCUGACCUGCCCGGCCACGUGAGCACCUUUUGGGGAGCUCUCCUCCAUUUCAAGCCUUCUCUGAUGUCUAUUCUGAUUGGCAACCACAGAGACUGCUCCCACUUCUUGACUGCCCUGUGAACUUGGGCAAACCCGAGCCCUGUGCUGAGUUCCUUAUUUGUGCUGUGGGCUGGGCACAGAAGGGACUGGCUGUGCGGUCUUAAAGAUUUUAGUCUCCAGGGUCCUGGCAAUUCACGUAGGCAAAAAUCUCAGGUGGAAGGAGAAGAACUGCAGGUGAUUAUUUCCAUCUGCUCUGAACUCUUGCUGGGGGAGGGAGAGGGAGGGGACGCUCUGACCCUCAGCACCCCUUACAGGACGUCCGGGAGAGAGAGCUGGUAACCUGGUCUCUAACUCAGAAGAUGGACGGCCUCAUACUUCAUUAUCCUAACUGGGACACUUCUCAGAGUGAAGGGAAAGGUCUUAAUAAUGACCCUGGAGUAGCAGGUAUAAACCAGGACUGUCUUCAGCAAUCCAAGAUAAACGGUGACCUAUGAAUAAAGAAGAGAAACAGGCCUUACCUCUCGGUGUCUCAGCUGAAAGCUUCUGCCUUCAUGGUAGCAGUUGUAAGUUUUUAGCAAGCUUAAGAGCUCCGACCUAAAAAGGUGUCUAACUGGAGGACCCAGGAAGCAGCUCAGCGAAAGCUAGGAGGCUGGCUUUUCUUCAAGGAGGCAAAUAGGAGCUGCCCAAAUCUAGAAAAUAUUUGGACCCAGCACGCAAAAAGCAAGAGAAAAUGAAAACUUAUGUUAGUUCAGAAAUACAUUUGAAUAAAUACUCCAAGUAUUUUUUUAUGGUAA